Molecule: ribosomal RNA, 397 nt
Filed under: uncultured bacterium
Lineage: Bacteria
Description: partial 16S ribosomal RNA
Rfam family: Bacterial small subunit ribosomal RNA
Source: RNAcentral
AUACGUAGGGGGCGAGCGUUGUCUGGAAUGAUUGGGCGUAAAGGGCGCGUAGGCGGCGCGGUAAGUCUGGAGUGAAAGUCCUGCUUUCAAGGUGGGAAUUGCUUUGGAUACUGCCGCGCUUGAGUGCAGGAGAGGUUAUCGGAAUUCCCGGUGUAGCGGUGAAAUGCGUAGAGAUCGGGAGGAACACCAGUGGCGAAGGCGGGUAACUGGACUGCGACUGACGCUGAGGCGCGAAAGAGUUGGGAGCAAACAGGAUUAGAUACCCUGGUAGUCCACACUGUAAACGAUGAAUGCUAGGUGUAAGAGGUAUCGACCCCUUUUGUGCCUCAGUCAACACAAUAAGCAUUCCGCCUGGGGAGUACGGCCGCAAGGUUGAAACUCAAAGGAAUUGACGGGG